GGGGGUGUAGCUCAGUGGUUGAGCACUUGCCUAGCGUGCUCCAGCCCUGGGUUCAAUCCCCAGUACCUCAA
Molecule: transfer RNA, 71 nt
Filed under: Heterocephalus glaber (naked mole-rat)
Lineage: Eukaryota; Metazoa; Chordata; Mammalia; Rodentia; Bathyergidae
Rfam family: tRNA
About the family: Transfer RNA (tRNA) molecules are approximately 80 nucleotides in length. Their secondary structure includes four short double-helical elements and three loops (D, anti-codon, and T loops).
Source: Rfam by way of RNAcentral